Molecule: ribosomal RNA, 3134 nt
Filed under: activated sludge metagenome
Description: bacterial LSU rRNA
Rfam family: Bacterial large subunit ribosomal RNA
Source: RNAcentral
AGGAAAAUAAAAUAAUAAUGAUUCCCGUAGUAGUGGCGAACGAACCGGGAAAAGCCUAAACCUAAACAGUGUUUUACCAAUGCUUCGCAUUGGACUGCGAAUUUUGCGAAUUAAAAUUGCGAAUUAUUACGAAUAUUUAUAUUUGUAUAAUUCGUAAAUAAUUUGUAUUAAUUAGCAUGCCGAUGCGGAGCAGCGGUAUUUAAAGGUAUGAGCCGUUGCUGUUUAAGGUGUUGCAAGGCGUCAGUUUUUGUGGCUUAUAACACAAAAAAUGAGUUACAAAAUUUUUUCUUAGUAGAAAUUAGCUGGAAAGCUAAUACCACAGAUGGUGAUAGUCCAGUAUACAAAAAGAAAAGAUCUCAUUAUGACGAACCUUAAGUAGGGCAGGACACGUGAAAUCCUGUUUGAAGCAGGGGCGACUAUGCCCCAAGGCUAAAUACUUUCGAAGAUCGAUAGUGAACAAGUACCGUGAGGGAAAGGUUAAAAGCACCCCGGUGAGGGGGAUGAAAUAGUUUCUGAAACCAUACGUUUUCAAAGAAUCAAAGUCUCGAGUAAUCGGGACAAUGGUGUGCCUAUUGAAGAAUGAGCCAACGAGUAUACUUAUGUUGCUUGUCUAAGUCCGUUAAUCGGAUUAAGGCAUAGGGAAACCAAGUCUUAAAUGGGCGUUUAAGGCAGCAUGUGUAUGACCCGAAACCAGGUGAUCUAGCCAUGGCCAGGAUGAGUCCCUCAGAAAUGUGGGAGGAGGUCCGAACUCACGCGCCGUACAACACGCGGGGAUGAGCUGUGGUUAGGGGUGAAAUUCCAAUCGAACCUGGUAAUAGCUGGUUCUCCUCGAAAUAGCUUCAGGGCUAGCGCUGGUUAAUAUUUAACCGGGGGUAGAGCACUGGAUGGGGCUGGAGUCGCAAGAUAUCCUCCCCAACCAAACUCCGAAUACCGGUUAAAAUUUCCAGUAGUCAGACAGUGGGGGCUAAGCUUCAUUGUCAAAAGGGAAACAGCCCAGAUCUCUAUCUAAGGUCCCUAAAUUUAUAUUAAGUGUUAAAGGUGGUGUUUUUUCUCAUACAACCAGGAUGUUGGCUUAGAAGCAGCCAUCAUUUAAAGAUAGCGUAAUAGCUCACUGGUCAAGAGAAGAUGCGCCAAAAAUGUUCGGGGCUAAAUAUAAUACCGAAGAUGAGGAUGUCAUUGCUUCGCAAUGGAAGCACGAAAUUCGAAUAUCGAAAUUCGAAACAAAUUUAAAAAAUUUAAAUUUAAAAUUUUAAUAUUUUAUUUUUUUGAAUUUAGAUAUUGUUUCGGAUUUAGAAUUUGUGAUUUCGGAUUUCCACUGCGUAGCAGUGAUGUGGUAGAGGAGUAUUCUGUUAACCUGCGAAGCAUAUCCCGCGAGGGAGUGUGGAGGAAGCAGAAGUAAGAAUGUUGGCAUGAGUAACAAAAAGGCAGGUGAGAAUCCUGCCCACCGAAAGCCUCAGGUUUCCUGGGCAAUGACUGUCAUCCCAGGGUUAGGCGAUCCUAAUUGUAUGGCCCAAGGGUCACACAAGAUGGAAGAACAGGUUAAUAUUCCUGUCCUACUUUAAUUUUAUCUUUUUGGCGACGUAUUCAAGUGAAUGAGCGUCCUAUGGCUAUGACGUUCCGGCCGUGCCUCAUUGCAUUCGGCACGGAAUUUCCAAUUUUCAAUUUUCAAUUUCCAAAUAAUUUUUAAUGAUUAAAUUUUUAAAUUUUAAAAUAAUUUAUAAUUUGAUUUUUUAAAUUUGAUAUUUAUUUGGAAUUUAGGAUUUGGAAUUUGAGAUUUCCGCCCGAGUCUAACGAGGCGCGGCUGGUAGAAGUGAAAGCUCCGGCUGGAUCGAAUUCAUGUGAUUGAAUGCCAAGAAAAACCAAGAGUCAUGAAUUAAAGUAACCGUACCGUAAACCGACACAGGUAGGCGGGUUGAGUAUACUAAGGUGAACGAGAGAACCCUUUUUUAAGGAACUCGGCAAAAAAACGAGCGUAACUUCGGGAUAAGCUCUCCCCACAGCAAUGUGGGGUGCAACCAACGUGUUUCAGGCGACUGUUUACCAAAAACACAGGUCCCUGCUAAGUCGCAAGACUACGUAUAGGGGCUGAUGCCUGGCCAGUGUCCGAACGUUAACGUGAGGGGUGAAAAUCGAUUUAUCGAGACUAGCUCUGAUCCGAAGCGCGGAUGAACGCCGGCGAUAACUAUAAUCGUCCUAAGGUAGCGAAAUUCCUUGACGGGUAAGUUCCGUCCUGCACGAAUGGCAUAACGGUCUGAAAACUGUCUUAAAAAGGGACUCGGUGAAAUUGCAAUGCCAGUAAAGAUGCUGGCUUCUCACAGUUAGACGAAAAGACCCCGUGAAGCUUUACUACAACUUGAUAUUGAUUUAUUGAUUAACAUGUUCAGCAUAGGUGGGAGCCCCGAGCAAUCGGGACAAUAGUGAGAUACCACCCUUGUUAUUUAGUAAGUCUAACCCCUAUAGGGGGACAUUAUCUGGUGGGUAGUUUGACUGGGGCGGUCGCCUCCUAAAAAGUAACGGAGGCAUUUACAAAGGUAGGCUAGAUCCCGAUGGAAACGGGAUUGAUAGGGCAAACCCUUAAGCCUGCUUUACUGCAAGUCCAACAAGACGAGCAGUUGCGAAAGCAUAAGUUAGUGAACCGAUCAUGCCAUAUAGGUGGCUGAAAGAUCAUUGAAUAAAAGCUACUCCGGGGAUAACAGGCUAGUUCCGCCCAAGCGUCCAUAGCGACGGCGGAGUUCGGCACCUCGAUGUCGGCUCAUCGCAUCCUGGGGGUGUAGAAGCUCCCAAGGGUUGGGCUGUUCGCCCAUUAAAGCGGUACGCGAGCUGGGUUCAAAACGUCGUGAGACAGUAGGAGUAUCCAUGCUGUCUAUAAAUCUAGCUAAAUGCUGGAAAAUCUGGCCAACUCCUUUUAGGAACAGGAGUUGAAGUAUCUCACACUACUAUGUUAUAAUAAAUAGAUGAAAAAUAUAAAACAUAGUGACAAUGUGUUGAGCGCAGACAAUCAGCAGGAAAGAUUAAAGCAUAUAAAUCCAUGGUAUAUUGUUGGUUUUACUGAAGGUGAAGGAACUUUUCAUGUCGCUUUCUAUAAGGAUCCGCAAAUGAAACAGGGAAUAAAAGUAAUUCCAGAAUUUCAUAUU